Molecule: non-coding RNA, 829 nt
Organism: Agelaius phoeniceus (red-winged blackbird)
Lineage: Eukaryota; Metazoa; Chordata; Aves; Passeriformes; Icteridae
Source: RefSeq, a predicted model, not a curated record
UACACAUAUACUGAUAAAACAUUUAAAGUAAUGUUUAGUUUUGAUCAGUUCUCUGACUGCUGGGACUACCUGGCAAAUAAAUCUAGAAACAGAAUUUGUCCACAAUUAAAUAAUAAUUUCCACAACUUAGAAAAAUAUAAUUUUACUAAAUAAGGUUUAAAUUAAUUGAUUUAUGGAUAUAGGAUGGAGGAUCAUGGUUUCCAGACUCUGACAUGAUUAAAUCUGAAAGGACCCAAGCUACUACAGACCAGUAACAAGCGCUGCCCCGCAGCCAAACACAGAAGAGCACAGAAACACAAACUGCUGCCACAGCAGCAUUGGUGGCUCCCAAAACCUCCCUGCUUCCCUCACCUCUUACACAGCCUUGAUUUCCACCCAACCUGAGUCUCCCACCUGACCUCAUGCUGUAUUUAAGGCGCACUCCAGCCACAAGCACAGCUCCGCAGGGCUCGCGUGGAUGGCUCCUGGCCCCCACACAACGCUGCCUUGAGAGCCAACAGAUCAUCAAAGCCCCUAAUUUCCAGCUUGGAGGACCAUCAGUACUUGAGCUUCACCACAUGGAUUUUGACCUACUGCAUAGAUUGAAACAAGCAUCCAGAAACCUAUCAGUAAAUUGUGCAUGAAUGCACUCCCAUCAGCUUUGGACACUGGGAGAAGUGAGAGUCCUCCUGUACUACAGAAUGACAUACACACCUUGCUGGUUCUGCUUGGAGCUGGACCUAGUGCCCUACACGGUGCCUUGAACACAUAACUGAAAGGGAACAUGCAGACGUAACAGGCUGCUAUUGCAACCAUGGUGGAUUCUCCUACAAAACCAGCGAGAAGGGAU